This 250-nucleotide ribosomal RNA is filed under the name uncultured bacterium. RNAcentral describes it as "partial 16S ribosomal RNA". It matches the Rfam family "Bacterial small subunit ribosomal RNA", at positions 805 to 1058 of the family's 1533-position model. The record is from RNAcentral.
AACGAUGGACGCCCGCCGUGGGGGAGUAUUUUUCCGCGGCCAAGCGAAAGCGUUAAGCGUCCCACCUGGGGAGUACGCCGGCAACGGUGAAACUCAAAGGAAUUGACGGGGGCCCGCACAAGCGGAGGAACAUGUGGUUUAAUUCGAUGAUACGCGAGGAACCUUACCCGGGCUUGAAUUGCAGGAGAACGAUCCGGAGACGGAGAGGCCCUUCGGGGCUCCUGUGAAGGUGCUGCAUGGCUGUCGUCAG